UACAUAAAGUAAUGGAGAAUCACCAGGAAGUUGAAUAAAUCUCAUAGGAGUUAGGAUGAAGUAAGCUAUCCCACUUUCAAAUCAGGUGAUCCUAGUUUUCCUGGUUGGGAAUAUGACAACUUCUUUGUCAUUCUAAUCAAACCAGGAUGAAUCGCGAUGUAAGAAGCUUGAUUUUGAUACAUAAAGUACUGGAGAAUCACCAGGAAGUUGAAUAAAUAUCAUAGGAGUUAGGAUGAAGAAGCUAUAGUGUUGAGAUAAGGAGUGUUAAGUGAAGAAUGGAGAUAAGGGUUGAGUAGAAUGAAGAGG
Molecule: long non-coding RNA, 306 nt
Filed under: Brassica napus (rape)
Lineage: Eukaryota; Viridiplantae; Streptophyta; Magnoliopsida; Brassicales; Brassicaceae
Description: long non-coding RNA (BNAP_LNC018478)
Source: RNAcentral